AAUGAACGUUGGCGGCGUGGAUUAGGCAUGCGAGUCGUGCGAGAACCGUAGCAAUACGGGGACAGCGGCGAAAGGGAGAGGAACACGUGGAUACCUACCCUCAGGUUCAGGAUAGCUAUGGGAAACUAUAGGUAAUACUGAAUAAUAUCUCCGGAUCAAAGGUGUGAUUCCGCCGGAGGAGGGGUCCGCGUCCUAUUAGCUAGUUGGUGAGGUAAUGGCUCACCAAGGCGAAGAUGGGUACGGGAUGUGAGAGCAUGAUCCCGCUCAUUGGGACUGAGACACUGCCCAGACACCUACGGGUGGCUGCAGUCGAGAAUCUUCGGCAAUGGGGGAAACCCUGACCGAGCGACGCCGCGUGUGAGAUGAAGGCCUUCGGGUUGUAAAGUCACUGUCGUAGAGGAGGAAGUGUAGGUGGGUUCUCCACUUAUUGUACCUAUUCUAGGUAGGAAGG
RNAcentral lists this ribosomal RNA (451 nucleotides) under uncultured bacterium. RNAcentral describes it as "bacterial SSU rRNA". It matches the Rfam family "Bacterial small subunit ribosomal RNA", at positions 29 to 495 of the family's 1533-position model. The record is from RNAcentral.